GGAAAAACUGGUAUUAACUGAGGUCUUCAUGCCUGCACCCUUGUUCCAGGAUAAAGAGCUAAACAGCAUAGGUGGUUAGUGCUUUUUGGAGUAUUUUGAUGGCUAUGGGCAUUGCCCAGGAGCUCUAAUGCCCCAGUAAGCCUCUGUAUCUCAUGCACAUUUCUUCAUGUGAGUUCUGCUGGAAAGGGAUGAAUUCUACCAGAUAUCAGACUUCACCCUGAAAACUGAAUUGGCUAAACUACUGUCUUUGAUCUUGCUUUGCCUACAGUUCUUGCAACACUGAAUAAGCUGGUAUGUCAUAGUUAUCUGUAGGAUGAGACAAACAAGACUGCAUGAGUGGACUGUAUUUCUGAAAACCAAGAGCAGCAAAUACCUUCUCUCUGUAUGUGCACACUUCUGCCUUUGAGGAAAGGAGGAAAGAAGAGUCAACACAGCACCCACUUUAUUAGGCUGCGGUCAGUGGAGAUGGGCAGCGGGUACAGUCACUCCUCCAGCGCUCCCUGUGCUCUCGCAGAGAUGACUGCUGGCCUCUGAGAGCUCCUCUGGAGCAGGGAUGAGUCACUGCCCAAGGGUAAACAGUGAAUACUAUGAUGACACUCACGUUUGAAAGACAGUGAGGUAGAACAAACAAGGUAAUUUCUUAAUAAAUAUU
This 652-nucleotide long non-coding RNA is filed under the name Parus major (Great Tit). RNAcentral describes it as "lncRNA (ENSPMJG00000016908.1)". Lineage: Eukaryota; Metazoa; Chordata; Aves; Passeriformes; Paridae. The record is from RNAcentral.